This is a long non-coding RNA of Daktulosphaira vitifoliae (grape phylloxera), 1534 nucleotides long. RefSeq lists it as uncharacterized. The record is from RefSeq and is a predicted model, not a curated record. The transcript is spliced from 3 exons. NCBI's taxonomy places the organism in Eukaryota, Metazoa, Arthropoda, Insecta, Hemiptera, Phylloxeridae.
AAAUAAUUCUAUUCCAAUUUCUUAUUUUAUUGUGAUCACUGAUCAGAAAUUCAAUAGAAUUCAGUCUGUUAUCUAUUUUACUUCGUGAUUAUAAAUGACAUUUUAUAUUUUGUAGCUUAUACAUUUUUAAAGAUAAACUAUAUUAUAUGUUUAUCAAAUACAUAUAACCGUGGUUUAGGCUACACACCCAAGUAUUUUGGUAUCAAGACCUAAACGGCACAUUGCGCUUCAAAGUUAUGCAUUAAAUUGUUCAGCAAAUAUUGAUAUUUUAGAGUUUAAAGAAUAAUUUUCUGUAAUAUUUGCUCAUGAAUAAAAAGAAAGACCGUGUAUUAAGUAACGUUUAGCUUUCAAAGAUAAUUUUAUAUGAAAUCUAAAAACUAAUAUAACACGCAUUGGAAAGUGUCUAUACAACUAUUAGAUAAAAAUAUGUUACACUUCCAAUAACUUUAUACUUUUAUCACAUGCGUUCAGUGUUUUUAAUAUUUUAACGGUUUAAACCAAUAAUCUAAAAAAAUUUUCUUUUUAUUCGUUACAAAACCCGUUCUUCCUGAUAAGAUUACUUGGUUUGCUAUAAAAAGAACAAAUUUCAGUGUUAUAAAAAACAAUAUGUAUAUGUCUACAUCAAUUAACGACCGAGUUAAGUAAAACCGGUUGUCACUUUUCUCCAAAUUUUGAAGAUGCAGAAACUGCGUCUUUAGGAAGUUUAGAGAAGUCUAUAAAUAUGAAAUCUAUAAAUCCAAAUAUUGUCUGAGAUCAAUAUUUUACGACUCAAUUCAAAGAAAAUACUUAAAAUCAUUUGACAUGAUCUAUUAAGACUUGAACACGGUAUGUCUUCCUGCGAUAAAUCGUAUAAAACUUAUGUACAGCCACACAUUGAAAAUCGCUAAACAAUUCUAUUUAUAUUCUUACUAUAUCCGUGUUAAAGUAUUAAUUAAUAGUAACGUAAGCAUUUCUCGGUGGAUAGAUAAUAUAUCUAAUCUUAUAGCAUCAAUAGUUUUUGUAAUCAUCUUACAAUGAGGACACUGUUUUAUGCACACACAUAAGAUUUCUUACAUGCAUAACUGUUGCAUAAUUGCAAAUAAUUUCUGCAUGGGACGACUUAAAAAGAAGGACAGGACGUCAGUUAUACAAUAUCACACUCUUUUGGAGAUUUGAAUAGCAGCAAGAUAAACCCUUGAGCAACUUUUCAAACGACAGCGGACAGUGUUAAGCGAAAGAUUGAUAACAACAACAACACCGACGAAUGAAUCUGUUUACACAUACUACAUUACAUUUACACCCAAUAAUACAAUAGGCUCCAGCAACGCCUCGUUAACAAUCGCGAAUGAUGACCACGGUGAAUGCCCAAACACAAUGUCCGAUCUUCGUUACUUCAUUUUGUAAUAAUUUUAUAUUAAAGUAUUGUUGACUAAGCAAAAUGUAUACUUAGACAUUGAGGUAACCUCGAAUAGCGUAAACAAUACCAUAACCAAAUUUAUUAUAAAAAUUACAACGUUGUUUUUUCUUUAAAUAAAUAUGAUACAUAUUCGUUUAA